RNAcentral lists this ribosomal RNA (252 nucleotides) under uncultured bacterium. Its description in RNAcentral is "partial 16S ribosomal RNA". It matches the Rfam family "Bacterial small subunit ribosomal RNA", at positions 524 to 776 of the family's 1533-position model. The record is from RNAcentral.
UACGGAGGGGGCUAGCGUUGUUCGGAAUUACUGGGCGUAAAGAGCUCGUAGGUGGUUUGUCGCGUUGUUCGUGAAAUCUCACGGCUUAACUGUGAGCGUGCGGGCGAUACGGGCAGACUAGAGUACUGCAGGGGAGACUGGAAUUCCUGGUGUAGCGGUGGAAUGCGCAGAUAUCAGGAGGAACACCGGUGGCGAAGGCGGGUCUCUGGGCAGUAACUGACGCUGAGGAGCGAAAGCGUGGGAGCGAACAGG